RNA transcript from Cucumis melo (muskmelon), 1762 nucleotides. It is a transcript of the gene named auxin transporter-like protein 5, with no coding region annotated. The transcript is spliced from 6 exons. Lineage: Eukaryota; Viridiplantae; Streptophyta; Magnoliopsida; Cucurbitales; Cucurbitaceae. The record is from RefSeq and is a predicted model, not a curated record.
AUUUCUAAAACAAAGUUCCCUCUUUUGUUCCCAAAUUUCCAUUUCCUCCCCCAAUUUUUAGAAAAACUCUUAUCUUUUUUCCAUCUUCCCCAAUUUUCUCCAAUCACGAUGCUCCCCCUUCACACUACGCGAUCUUCCCUCCACCACCCAAGCUCUAGACGGUAGCCGUUCAUAUACCGCAGUCACUCCCGCUCCACCACAGAUCCCAACUCUUCUGUAUAGGCACCGCACAUGACUGAGGACAGGCUCCGUCUAGAGACACAGACGCUUCACACAGAAGCAUAAGCUUCACCAAUUUUCUCCGCAGACGCUUCACGCACAGACACCGUGCAUGGCUGAGGAAUGCUGCAAACCUUCUUGCCACCAACUCCACUUUAAAGUUAGGAUACACGUAAUAAGGUGUAUAAUUCAGCCUCAUUUGAUAACUAUUUGAUAUUUUAAAAAACGAAACUUACAAAUACUACUUUUUGUUGAUUUGGAAUUCAAAUGUUUCGUUUUGGAAUUCAAAUAUUUUUCUCUUACAAACAAGAAGCAAGCAUAAAUUUCAAAAACAACUUAAUUUUCUGUUAAUUUUUAAAUUUUAGGUUGAGGGUGUCAAACACUCUUGCCCUAAGAAAUUGAUUCUGCAUUUCAUCGGAGCCACUAACAUUCUUUACACAUUCGGAGGUCAUUCUAUAACUCCACAGAAAUUCAAGUACAUCAACUAGAUGGCUAUAUUGUACGUUUUCACUUUAACGCUUACCUCAUUCAUCAUCGUGUAUUGGGCCUUGGUGAUGAGCUUCUAAACCACUCUAAUGCUUUCACCCUCCUCCCAAAAUCCAACUGUUGUGACGUCUCCAUCAGCCUUACACUUAUUCACCAGUUCACUUUGGCAUGGAUCAAGUUGGGCAGACUUGAAAUGGCCAAGAAAGCAGUUUGUUUUAUGCACAAUUGUCUAAUGUUAAGUACUUUUCUGCAUUGAUGACAAUUGUAUCGAAUGAUAUCUUCUUACCUGGAGCUAAUUUAUUUGUCAGACUAUGGAAACUAAUUUGAAGAAAGAAAAAUUCAUUAUGCAAAAUAUUACCCUUAACCAUUUGAUAAUGAUAUAUCUAUCUUGCUUCCUCGAACAUUUUUUCCAGGGUUUCGCUUUGUAAAUUUGGCAUUGCUGGCACGUAUUCGGGUGUUAGUUCAACAAAUAUUUCUAGAUGUUGUUUCAGUAUUCAACACAGUUUUAUCUAUCUCUGAAAAAGAAGCAAGUAGUUGCAAUAAACUAGGAAGGAAUUCAGGUCUUUAGAGAAUUUUACCCAACGAAUGAUGAAUUUGUUCUCUUAGAGUGAAUUUGGGAAGUAGACAAAUUUAUUUUGAAAGAGAGAACACAAGAAGUUGCAACUAAGAAUCAAGAACAUUUUUAGGCCUGAUUAUUUAGCCACUUCAGCUCUGCAGUAUCAGAAACUUAAAUAUUUUCUUGGAGGUGUAGAUGAUCUGAGGAGGCACAGGCAAAUCAAAGUAAUGAGAAAGGUCCGAUCUAAUGAAAAGACUAAGAAUGGUUUGCUAGCAAGCCCAUCGGGAAGAGUUAAUGAUAUAUCUAUGGAAGAUAAUACAGAAAUAAAAGACGGUUUGAUCAGUCCGAUAAAGGGGAGCAAGAGGUUAAAAUAUGUAAGGAGCAACUAUAUGUAUGGUUCAUUGAUAUAUAUGCAAUUUGUUAAGAUAUAAUUAGUUCUUUGACGAAAAGUUUGGGUUGAUUCAAUUGUUCAAUUAAUGUGUAGUUUAGCACAUUUGUGUA